GACUCGUCACACUAUCAUUAACUGAAUCCAUAGGUUAAUGAGGCGAACCGGGGGAACUGAAACAUCUAAGUACCCCGAGGAAAAGAAAUCAACCGAGAUUCCCCCAGUAGCGGCGAGCGAACGGGGAGGAGCCCAGAGCCUGAAUCAGCAUGUGUGUUAGUGGAAGCGUCUGGAAAGGCGCGCGAUACAGGGUGACAGCCCCGUACACAAAAGCGCAUGUGCUGUGAGCUCGAUGAGUAGGGCGGGACACGUGGUAUCCUGUCUGAAUAUGGGGGGACCAUCCUCCAAGGCUAAAUACUCCUGACUGACCGAUAGUGAACCAGUACCGUGAGGGAAAGGCGAAAAGAACCCCGGCGAGGGGAGUGAAAAAGAACCUGAAACCGUGUACGUACAAGCAGUGGGAGCACCCUUUGGGGUGUGACUGCGUACCUUUUGUAUAAUGGGUCAGCGACUUAUAUUCUGUAGCAAGGUUAACCGAAUAGGGGAGCCGGAGGGAAACCGAGUCUUAAUUGGGCGUUAAGUUGCAGGGUAUAGACCCGAAACCCGGUGAUCUAGCCAUGGGCAGGUUGAAGGUUGGGUAACACUAACUGGAGGACCGAACCGACUAAUGUUGAAAAAUUAGCGGAUGACCUGUGGCUGGGGGUGAAAGGCCAAUCAAACCGGGAGAUAGCUGGUUCUCCCCGAAAGCUAUUUAGGUAGCGCCUCGUGAAUUCAUCUCCGGGGGUAGAGCACUGUUUCGGCUAGGGGGCCAUCCCGGCUUACCAACCCGAUGCAAACUGCGAAUACCGGAGAAUGUUAUCACGGGAGACACACGGCGGGUGCUAACGUCCGUCGUGAAGAGGGAAACAACCCAGACCGCCAGCUAAGGUCCCAAAGUCAUGGUUAAGUGGGAAACGAUGUGGGAAGGCCCAGACAGCCAGGAUGUUGGCUUAGAAGCAGCCAUCAUUUAAAGAAAGCGUAAUAGCUCACUGGUCGAGUCGGCCUGCGCGGAAGAUGUAACGGGGCUAAACCAUGCAC
This 1017-nucleotide ribosomal RNA is filed under the name Salmonella enterica subsp. enterica serovar Rubislaw. RNAcentral describes it as "partial 23S ribosomal RNA". It matches the Rfam family "Bacterial large subunit ribosomal RNA", at positions 137 to 1194 of the family's 2925-position model. The record is from RNAcentral. RNAcentral also lists the same sequence under 2 other names. Lineage: Bacteria; Pseudomonadati; Pseudomonadota; Gammaproteobacteria; Enterobacterales; Enterobacteriaceae.